CAGGGAGCAAUUUCCUCUUCCAGGCCUUCCAGGCUGGGAGGAAGCUGUGUACCGGAACUGGGCAGAGCUGCAGGCAUGAAAGAAGGGCCUGGGAGGGAAGAGAAGAAUAUACAACCCAGCCUCUUGUCUUAGGCGGCUCGGGCUGCUGCAAUAAAAAACCCCAGACUGGGUGACUUCAACAACAGAAAUUUAUUUGUUCACAUUUCCGGAGGCUGGAAGUCCAAAAUCAAGGUCCAGCAGGGCUCAGCCUCUGGGGAGCUUUCUCUUCCAGGCUUGCAGAUAGUUGCUUUGUCCUUACAUGACCUCUCCUCUGAGCUGUGUGUGGUGAGGCAGGGAAGGAGGGAGGGAGAGAGUGAGGGAGAAAGAGAAAGAGGGAGAAGGAGAGAGACAGAUCUCUUCCUCUUCUCCUAAAGCCACCAAUCUCGUAGCAUUAGGAACCCGCCCUUAUAACCUCAUUUAACCUAAGUUACUUCCUGACUCCAAAUACAGCCAUACAAGGGGUGAGAGCUUCAAGAUAGGAGUUUUGAGGGGACACGUGUUUAGUCCAUAUCACCUCUUUACCUCUCAUCUCCUGACGGUGUCUCCCCCUCUCAUGGCCCAACCCGACAGGAAGCCAGAGGGUGGGGAGCCGAGAUGAUGCUGUCUACGUAGAGCAGCCUCUGACCACAGAGUGGGGAAGAGAAAGCUGUACUAUAGAUGGGAGGUGGGGAAGGGCAGGGAGGCAAACAGAGAGCAAUCAAGACAAGGGAGAAGUGUAGAAAAUGUAGCUGAAGAGAAAAAAAGUUGCUUAUAGAACUGUCCAUGAGGAAAAUGAGAAUAUGCCUUGUUUUAAAACCUCAAAGGACUGAUUCACACUCUUAUUUAGUGGAAAUACAUCAAGAGACUGCAAGCUUAACUUUCUCACAAACACAUACAUCUAAAAAUAGCCUUUUGGAAUCUAAUUUAUUGGUAAGCAAAGGAUUGCAGCAUUUGACUUACAAUUAAGGUGUCACCUCCAAGUUAAUCAUAGGUCCAUGGUUUGAAUAGCUUAGAUUCUCAACUUUCCAGAACAUUUAGUAAGCGCUUGUGAAAAAGCUAAGAGCUCUGAAGGAUAGAGGGGUUUAUAGAAGAUGUGAGACUGGUACCCUAAUGCCUUCGUCAGGAUCAGUAUGGAGCAGACCCUCAGGACUGCAGAAGCAAGAUCAAUUCCUUUUGACAGGAAUGACCAGUCAAAGACAUGAUGCAAAAGGCAGCAUUUAAGAUUCAAGAGCCACAUGCACAGGUUUGUACUAUACUGCAUAAUGCUGGGAUUUGGACUUCUACAGAACCCAUCACGCAAACAGUGAACAUAGUGCCCAGGUGCUUGGUUUGGAAGGACUGAGUAAGGAUGUGUACAAGCAUUCAUCAAAUGAACUAUUGAACAUAUUGCUUUUAAAACCUGGGUCCAGACGUUGGGAGCAAUCCGGUGGCCUGAUGCAGACUGAGCUUAAUAGAAUAUUUUGUAUAGAAUGUGUGGCACUUGCCUUGGAUGAAUCUAUGUGGUUGGAUCACCUAAAGCGAUACUCAUUGAGCUUACAAUACAUGUCAUAAACAUGCUUCUUUAUAAACGUUUGUUUCAUAAAUGUUGGGCUGUGUGUUCUGAGGCUUGCGUUCAUUACGACUUAGUAGCAGAGUUGUAGAGGCGCUAACCCUCACCCACCUCUAAUCCUCAGGAACAACCAUUAUCUACUAAACUUAACUAAGAUAUUUGUUCAAGGUGGGCGUUAUCUGUCAUCACCCAAGAGGAUAAUACACUGUAAAUGUCAUAGCAAGUUGGUGAUUUAAGUCACUCAAAA
Molecule: long non-coding RNA, 1814 nt
Filed under: Homo sapiens (human)
Lineage: Eukaryota; Metazoa; Chordata; Mammalia; Primates; Hominidae
Description: HSALNT0247297
Source: RNAcentral